RNAcentral lists this ribosomal RNA (431 nucleotides) under uncultured bacterium. Its description in RNAcentral is "partial 16S ribosomal RNA". It matches the Rfam family "Bacterial small subunit ribosomal RNA", at positions 29 to 507 of the family's 1533-position model. The record is from RNAcentral.
AACGAACGCUGGCGGCAGGCUUAACACAUGCAAGUCGAACGCCCCGCAAGGGGAGUGGCAGACGGGUGAGUACCACGUGGGAACAUGCCCAAAGGUACGGAAUAUUCUCGGGAAACUGAGAGCAAUACCGUAUGUGCCCGAAAGGGGAAAGAUUUAUCGCCUUUGGAUUGGCCCGCGUCGGAUUAGCUAGUUGGUGGGGUAAAAGCCUACCAAGGCGACGAUCCGUAGCUGGUCUGAGAGGACGACCAGCCACACUGGGACUGAGACACGGCCCAGACUCCUACGGGAAGCAGCAGUGGGGAAUCUUGGACAAUGGGCGCAAGCCUGAUCCAGCCAUGCCGCGUGGAUGAUGAAGGCCCUAGGGUUGUAAAAUCCUUUCGUUGGGGACGAUAAUGACGGUACCCAAAGAAGAAGCUCCGGCUAACUUCGUG